Molecule: ribosomal RNA, 2535 nt
Filed under: Triticum aestivum (bread wheat)
Lineage: Eukaryota; Viridiplantae; Streptophyta; Magnoliopsida; Poales; Poaceae
Description: partial small subunit ribosomal RNA
Source: RNAcentral
AUGGAUCUGUUUGUAAUUGAUUCAGACAGUGAGUCAUACAGUGGAACGAGUGACAGUGAGGACCAAGAAGAAUGUGAAUUUACGGACCAUGCGCAGAGCAUCUUAUCAAGCUUGGACGAAAGCAUCGGCAAGAUUGAUGAUUUCCUUACUUUUGAAAGAGGGUUUCUUCAUGGGGACAUAGUCUGCCCUGUGUCUGACCCCUCAGGUCAGUUGGGCCGCGUUGUUGGGGUUGAAAUGUUUGUGGACUUGGAGACAUACUCUGGUGAUAUAAUAGAAGAUGUCAACAGCAAGCAGCUUUCAAGAGUGAGAUCCUUUGUCUCUGGUGACUGCGUGGUUAUGGGACCAUGGAUUGGGCGGGUGAUCAGGGCAUUUGACCUGGUCACCGUUGUGUUCAGUGAUGGGGCAAAGUGUGAAAUGCUGUUAAGGGACUCUGAGGUACUGAAGCCCAUUCCUCCAAUCCUUUUUGAAGAUGCACCUUAUUUUUAUUAUCCAAGUCAACGCGUGAGGAUUGUUCAUCCCUCCGUGUCCAAGUCAGGAACAUGGUUUUCUGGAUCGUGGAGGGCCAGCCGAGAUGAAGGUGUUGUGUCUCAUGUUGAUGUGGGGCUGGUGCAUGUGAACUGGAUAACCUCGGUGGCAAAUGUUUGGGGUGACCGAUCAUCAAGUCCACCAAACUUUCAGGACUCAAAGAAUCUCACUUUGCUGUCAUGCUUCCCUUAUGCUAACUGGCAGUUGGGUGAUUGGUGCACUCUCUCUGCUGGUCAUGAUGGAAGUCUCCCAAGUGAAGACCGUAAGUUUUCUCGAUAUUCUCAAACUUAUGUUGUUGCUAAGACAAAGAGCACUUUUGACGUUCUAUGGCAAAAUGGAAGCACAUCUCUUGGGCUAGAACCUUAUAUCUUGGCUCCUGUUAGCACCCCCGGUGAUCAUGAUUUUUGGCCAGGGCAAUUUGUCCUGGAGAAACUGGCAGUAGAGGAAGCUGCCGAACGUCAGCGGAUUGGGAUAGUGAGAAAUGUGGAUGCACUUGAGCGGACUGCAAACGUAAAAUGGAUUGUUCCAGUGGAUGAUGACAUUGUCAGAUAUGGAAGUGACUCCACUGAGGAGACAGUGAGUGCUUAUGAGCUAGUAGAGCACCCGGAUUUCUCUUUUUGCACUGGGGAAGUCGUUAUCAGAUCAGCUCUGAACAUCGACAAGUCUGAAGCAGAUCUCACCAAUGGGACCAUGACAGUUAGCAGGAAAAGUUUAGAUACCUCCUCCGGCUUCUUGUCAUGCAUUGGCAAUGUUCUUGGGUAUAAGGAUGAUGGAAUUGAAGUACAAUGGGCUAGUGGUGUGAUAUCCAAGGCGCAGCAUUUUGAAAUAAUUGGAUUAGAAAGACUUCUAGAUAAUUCACUAGGAUCUGUGAAUGAGGUGCAUACUUUUGUCGACGACGAGGCUGAGCAGGAAACAAUUCGCCAUGAGAGUACUAAGAAUGCCCUGGAAGAGUCUGGUGAAGACUGCACUGGUUCAUUGCGCAAUGCUUUCUACUUCUCCAAAACAGCUUUUAAUUUUCUGACGAAUGUGGCUUCUAGUUUCUUUGGUGCUCAUGAUUCUACAUCAUCUAGCUCAAUUACUGCAGUUCCUCUGUAUCAAAUUGUGAAGUCAGCAGAUCUACAUUCGUCUGCAGAAGAAUUUUCCGUUGUGGAGUUGGUGAUGCAGACCGAGAAGCCACAGUUACCUUCAGAAAAUGACGUAAAAAUAUUUGAUGUUGUGGUGGACUGUUCUGAUCAUCAUUUUGUGAAGGAACGUGGCCAUGAAAAUGUUAAAAGAGGUUGGUUGAAGAAGAUACAACAGGAAUGGACAAUCUUACAAAAUGAUUUACCAGAUGAUAUCCAUGUUAGAGUUUAUGAGGAAAGGAUGGACCUUCUCAGAGCUUGCAUUGUUGGGGCAGCUGGAACGCCUUAUCAUGAUAAUUUAUUUUUCUUUGAUAUUUUCUUCCCGCCGGAUUAUCCUCAUGAACCACCUUCUGUUCACUAUCACUCCGGAGGCCUCCGCCUCAACCCAAACUUGUACGAAACCGGCAAAGUAUGUCUAAGCCUUCUCAAGACAUGGGCAGGGACUGGUAAUGAGGUGUGGAAUCCGGAGGGUUCGACUAUUCUUCAACUGCUGCUAUCCCUUCAGGCUCUUGUUCUCAACGAGAAGCCUUACUUCAAUGAGGCGGGCUACGACAAAUUUGUGGGGAAAGCUGACGGGGAGAAGAACUCCAUCACGUACAACGAGAAUGCUUUCUUGCUGUCUUGCAAGUCCAUGAUGUACAUUUUGCACAAACCACCAAAGCAUUUUGAAAAUUUCGUCAAGGAGCACUUCACUCGCCUCGCGCCGCACAUCCUGGGAGCCUGCAACGCAUACCUCGGCGGCGAUCUCGUCGGUCAUGCUGGCGACAGCACGUACAUAUCAGAUGAUGGCUGCAAGAGCUGCUCGACCGGAUUCAAGAUCAUGCUCGGCAAGCUACUGCCGAAGCUCGUCGCCGCCUUCUCCGAAGCCGGGAUCGCCCGUGGCCAGUGA